GUCCACGCCCUAAACGAUGUCGACUGGUUGUUGGGGGUUUGACACUCUCAGUAACGAAGCUAACGCGUGAAGUCUACCGCCUGGGGAGUACGGCCGCAAGGUUAAAACUCAAAGGAAUUGACGGGGACCCGCACAAGCGGUGGAUUAUGUGGAUUAAUUCGAUGCAACGCGAAAAACCUUACCUACCCUUGACAUGUCCUGAAUCCUGCAGAGAUGUGGGAGUGCCCGAAAGGGAACGGGAACACAGGUGCUGCAUGGCUGUCGU
RNAcentral lists this ribosomal RNA (265 nucleotides) under uncultured bacterium. RNAcentral's name for it is "partial 16S ribosomal RNA". It matches the Rfam family "Bacterial small subunit ribosomal RNA", at positions 793 to 1055 of the family's 1533-position model. The record is from RNAcentral.